GGCACUAUGGCGGAAUUGGCAGACGCAGUGGACUCAAAAUCCACCGACCUUCACUGGUCGUUUCGGUUCGACCCCGAAUAGUGCCACCA
Molecule: transfer RNA, 89 nt
Filed under: Acidobacteriota bacterium
Lineage: Bacteria; Pseudomonadati; Acidobacteriota
Description: tRNA-Leu
Rfam family: tRNA
About the family: Transfer RNA (tRNA) molecules are approximately 80 nucleotides in length. Their secondary structure includes four short double-helical elements and three loops (D, anti-codon, and T loops).
Source: RNAcentral